CUGUAGUCCAGUGGUAAGGAUUCUGCACUUUCACCACUGCAGCCUGGAUUCAAUUCCCUUUCAGGGAACAAGACCCCAGGAGAUGUAAAUCCUUUAACUCAGGAAGGAAAAAUAAAAGAAAUACUUGGAAAAAAUUAGUUUGAAUUGUUUUGAAUUUAUAUUUGUAUGACUUCUUAACCUUUGGGGUACCCAUUCAUUCUGUAAGCCUCUCAUCCAGCUGUUGUUUUCCUCUGUCUUAAACCCUAGAGAAUAUGGCCAGACAAAAAUGUGGGUUGUACCCCAUUUGCGGCUGGCAAAACCUUGCUUUCUUUAAGCUGUUGUAGGGAAUGAUCUGGAUUUUGAAAGGGUUGCAACUUUUGCUCCCUCUUAGGAAACCUUGGUUGAAGCCAUCAAGAGCUUCUUGGUUUCAGUCUCAAAUGUUCUUAUUUGUUUUGAUUUUGAGUUAUUUCCUUUGGUUAAAACGUUGGUUUAUAUUUAGAGUGUGAUAGUAACUUUUUCCCCAUUAAUCUGCUUCCUCUACGGGGCCAGAGAGACAUACCUCCUGCUACAGCUGGGAACCAAACAGGAAUAACCCUGAAAAGCUGCCUUUUGUGGAGGAGACUUGCAUCUGUAGAGAAAAUCUACACUGGUGAAAUAAACAACCAGGCUUUCUUGGAGGCACCCCCUUAUCUGUACCUAGGAAAUUAUUAACUGAAAGUCUGACACCUACGAAGGUCUGACAGAGCAACUUAACACAGGCUCAUGCCUAUUCUUUCUAGGAGCUGCUAUCUAUGAAGUUUCAUCUGCAUAACUAGACCAUCUUUGCCCCAGCCCCUUCUUUCUUUCUCCCUCCCAUAACCAUGUUCCAAGCCCCUACUCUGCUGUAACCUCAAGAUGGUAUAAAAGCAUCAAGCAUCUGGCCCUUUCUCUCAGUUUUCAUAUUUUGUAUGACUCCCAUGCCCAUAUGCUCAUUAAUACAUUUGUAAGCUUUUCCCCCCUUGUUAAUCUAUUAGCAGUUUGUUUCAUAGACUCAAAUGAUCAAAACUUUAGGGGAAAAAAAUCAAAUUCAAAUUUCCCUAAAGUGGUCACACAUCUGGCUAGUGGCAGAGGUGAAUUUCAAAUCCAGCUCUCUGUAAGGGCCAGUUACUACUGCAUCACAAUACAACUUAUAAAGUGCUCUUACAUAUUCAUUCAAGGUACUGUUGUUAUUAUUAAACUUGUUUGAC
This 1205-nucleotide long non-coding RNA is filed under the name Homo sapiens (human). RNAcentral's name for it is "HSALNT0249659". Lineage: Eukaryota; Metazoa; Chordata; Mammalia; Primates; Hominidae. The record is from RNAcentral.